UUCCAGCUCCAAUAGCAUAUGCUAAUGUUGUUGCGGUUAAAAAGCUCGUAGUCUGAGUUGUGUCCAGCGCUGCCGGUCCGCAGCAUGCCUGUGUUGACUGUGUAUGUCGUCUGGACGUCCUUGCCGGACGCGGAAGGAAGCCGAAAGUUGCCGUCCCGGGUUCACCUCGUGCAUCCCGGAAACGGCUUCCUAGGCGACCCCGCACAUGAGGUCCCGACCUGGUGCUCUUAAUCGAGUGCCUAGGAGGGCCGGCACUCUUACUUUGAACAAACUCGAGUGCUCAAAGCUGGCCCUUUGGCCUAGUCGCUGUGUGCAUGGAAUAAUGGAAUAGGACUUCGGUUCUAUUUGGUUGGUUCUACGAACCGAGGUAAUGAUCAAAAGGAGCAGUUGGGGGCAUUCGUAUUGCGACGUUAGAGGUGAAAUUCUUGGAUCGUCGCAGGACGGACAAAAGCGAAAGCAUUUGCCAAGGAUGCUUUCAUUGAUCAAGAGCGAAAGUUGGAGGAUCGAAGGCGAUCAGAUACCGCCCUAGUUCUAACCAUAAAUUAUGCCAACCAGCAAUGCGCCGAAGUCGCUUUUGACUCGGCGUGGAGCUUCCGGGAAACCAGAGUUUUCAGGUUCCGGGGGAAGUAUGGUUGCAAAGCUGAAACUUAAAGGAAUUGACGGAAGGGCACCACAAGGAGUGGAGCCUGCGGCUUAAUUUGACUCAACACGGGGAAACUUACCAGGGCAGGACACUCGAAUGAUUGACAGAUUGAAGAUCUUUCUUGAUUGUGUGCAUGGUGGUGCAUGGCCGUUCCUAGUUCGUGGGGUGGCUUGUCUAGUUAAUUCUGAUAACGAGCGAGAUUCUAACUAUUAAAUAGACCAAUGAGAUCCCUUCGGGGCUAUCAGAGAAUGAAACUUCUUAGUAGGAUUUCUGGCCUAGAGCCAAAUGAGAAUAGAACCAUAACAGGUCUGUGAUGCCCUUAGAUGUCCUGGGCUGCACGCGUGCUACAAUGAAAGAAGCAGCGUGAAAAAUCCUAGUCCGAGAGGCCCUGGUAAUCAGUUGAAAUUCUUUCAUGCAGGGGAUAGGGGCUUGCAAUUAGCCCCUUGAACAAGGAAUUCCCAGUAGGUGCGAGUCACGAUUCCGCUCCGACUGAGUCCCUGUCCUUUGUACACACCGCCCGUCGCUACUACCGAUUGAAUGGUCUAGUGAGGUCUUUGGACCGAAGAUGCUAGGUCUUAACGGACCAGAUCAAUAGGGAGGAUGACCGAACUUGAUCGUUUAGAGGAAGUAAAAGUCGUAACAAGGUUUCCGUAGGUG
RNAcentral lists this ribosomal RNA (1300 nucleotides) under Spermozoros asymmetricus. RNAcentral's name for it is "SSU rRNA". It matches the Rfam family "Eukaryotic small subunit ribosomal RNA", at positions 583 to 1811 of the family's 1831-position model. The record is from RNAcentral. Lineage: Eukaryota; Metazoa; Arthropoda; Insecta; Zoraptera; Zorotypidae.